UACGUAGGGUGCGAGCGUUGUCCGGAAUUACUGGGCGUAAAGAGCUCGUAGGUGGUUUGUCGCGUUGUUCGUGAAAACCGGGGGCUUAACCCUCGGCGUGCGGGCGAUACGGGCAGACUUGAGUACUGCAGGGGAGACUGGAAUUCCUGGUGUAGCGGUGGAAUGCGCAGAUAUCAGGAGGAACACCGGUGGCGAAGGCGGGUCUCUGGGCAGUAACUGACGCUGAGGAGCGAAAGCGUGGGGAGCGAUCAGG
This 253-nucleotide ribosomal RNA is filed under the name uncultured bacterium. RNAcentral describes it as "partial 16S ribosomal RNA". It matches the Rfam family "Bacterial small subunit ribosomal RNA", at positions 524 to 776 of the family's 1533-position model. The record is from RNAcentral.